Molecule: long non-coding RNA, 602 nt
Filed under: Zea mays
Lineage: Eukaryota; Viridiplantae; Streptophyta; Magnoliopsida; Poales; Poaceae
Description: long non-coding RNA (ZMAY_LNC003257)
Source: RNAcentral
CUGAUUUCUCGGUCCAACGAGAGAGGGAUCUUUUGAUGCGUGCGUUCUAAGUAAGUUCUGGACACGAUGCUAGGAUUCAAAUUUGCUGCCUCCAUUCCGUAUUUCCGUUAAUUUCCAAAUUAUUUUUGUUUGUGCUUUCCUCACGCAAGGAACAGGCCGACAUGAAUUAGCACGUUUUUGAAAGAAGUGAAGGAUAAAUCACUUAUAGUCCAACACUCUUCACGUCGAGCCUUCUCAGUCCAGUCCUCAGACAUGGAAUAAGAGCGAAAGAACAGAUGGACAAUUCCAACACUGUCUUCACAUCGAGCCUUCUCAGUCCUGAGACGUCAUCGUAAUAAGGAGGUUUUUGAUGGUGUCCGACCUUCCAUUCAUGCAAUAAAGACAGUUUUUUUGGAUGAGGUUGAGUGCUAGAGGCUUGCCGGUGCUAGACAUCUUAAUGCUUUGGGUCCUGGUGUGUGGUCUGCUGGCACUUUUUUGCUGUUGAUCUCCUUUUGCGUACUGCUGUUUUCAUGCACAGAAGGAGGCUACAGUUCUGUGCGCAGCAGGAUUUGGUGGUCUUGUGUUUUGCCUAUUUUGGCAUUGUACUUUGGUCUAUUUCGGAC